GUAGGUGAACCUGCGGAAGGAUCAUUAUUGAAAUUAAACCUGAUAAGUUGUUGCUGGUUCUCUAGGGAGCAUGUGCACACUUGUCAUUUUUGUAUUUCCACCUGUGCACUUUUUGUAGACCUGAGUAUCUCUCUGUAUGGUUAGCCAUUCAGGAAUGAGGAUUGACUUUCAGUCUCUUCCUUACAUUUUCAGGUCUAUGUUUCUUCAUAUACCCUAUGUAUGUUUAUAGAGUGUUGUUAAUGGGCCUUUGUGCCUAUAAACCUAUACAACUUUCAGCAACGGAUCUCUUGGCUCUC
This 296-nucleotide unclassified non-coding RNA is filed under the name rhizosphere metagenome. Its description in RNAcentral is "partial ribosomal RNA internal transcribed spacer region". The record is from RNAcentral.